UGGGUAGCGGAGAAAUUCCAAUCGAGCUCGGAGAUAGCUGGUUCUCCCCGAAAUAGCUUUAGGGCUAGCCUCAGGGGUGAAAAUAUGGAGGUAGAGCACUGAAUGGACUAGGGGCCAAAAAGGUUACCGAACCCUAUCAAACUCCGAAUGCCAUAUUGAGAACCCUGGGAGUCAGACUACGAGUGAUAAGAUCCGUGGUCAAAAGGGAAACAGCCCAGACCGACAGCUAAGGUCCCAAAGAGCAUGUUAAGUGGGAAAGGAAGUAGGAUUUCCAAGACAACCAGGAUGUUGGCUUAGAAGCAGCCAUACAUUCAAAGAGUGCGUAAUAGCUCACUGGUCGAGAAAUCCCGCGCCGAAAAUAAACGGGGCUAAAACAUGCCACCGAAGCUACGGAUUCGUAAGAAUGGUAGGGGAGCGUACUGUACAGGGCGAAGGAUAAGCGUAAGCGAAUCUGGACAGUACAGUAGAGAGAAUGCCGGUAUAAGUAACGAGAGUAAGGCGAGAAACCUUACCGUCGAAAGCCUAAGGUUUCCUGGGGAAGGAUAAUCCGCCCAGGGUAAGUCGGGACCUAAGCCGAGGCGAAAGCGUAGGCGAUGGACAACCGGUAAUAAAUCCGGUACCACCGAAAUCCGUCAAAAGAGAAGCAAGGACGCAGCGAGAUAAGAAAAGCGUGCGGUUGGUAGAGCACGUCCAAGCAGCGACGAAAAGAGCUUUGAGUGAAGUACCAAAGCUCAUAAGAGCUGUGAAGGGGAGCCGAAAGGCGAAGUUUCGAAGGGGCUGCCAAGAAAAGUUGCUAUCGAGGAUAGAGGUGCCCGUACCAGAAACCGACACAGG
This 834-nucleotide ribosomal RNA is filed under the name Thermoanaerobacterium thermosaccharolyticum. Its description in RNAcentral is "partial 23S ribosomal RNA". It matches the Rfam family "Bacterial large subunit ribosomal RNA", at positions 812 to 1663 of the family's 2925-position model. Lineage: Bacteria; Bacillati; Bacillota; Clostridia; Thermoanaerobacterales; Thermoanaerobacteraceae. The record is from RNAcentral.